This 1349-nucleotide ribosomal RNA is filed under the name Eudoraea chungangensis. RNAcentral's name for it is "partial 16S ribosomal RNA". Lineage: Bacteria; Pseudomonadati; Bacteroidota; Flavobacteriia; Flavobacteriales; Flavobacteriaceae. The record is from RNAcentral.
GGCACUCCCGGCUUCCAUGGCUUGACGGGCGGUGUGUACAAGGCCCGGGAACGUAUUCACCGGAUCAUGGCUGAUAUCCGAUUACUAGCGAUUCCAGCUUCACGGGGUCGAGUUGCAGACCCCGAUCCGAACUGUGACCGGUUUUAUAGAUUCGCUCCUUCUUGCGAAGUGGCUGCUCGCUGUACCGGCCAUUGUAGCACGUGUGUAGCCCAGGACGUAAGGGCCGUGAUGAUUUGACGUCGUCCCCACCUUCCUCGCGGUUUGCACCGGCAGUCCCGUCAGAGUCCCCAACAUUACUUGCUGGCAACUGACGGCAGGGGGUUGCGCUUCGUUAUAGGACUUAACCUGACACCUCACGGCACGAGCUGACGACAAACCAUGCAGCACCUUGCAAAAUGUCCGAAGAAAAGUCUAUCUCUAAACCUGUCAUUCUGCAUUUAAGCCCUGGUAAGGUUCCUCGCGUAUCAUCGAAUUAAACCACAUGCUCCACCGCUUGUGCGGGCCCCCGUCAAUUCCUUUGAGUUUCAUUCUUGCGAACGUACUCCCCAGGUGGGAUACUUAUCACUUUCGCUUGGCCGCCCACUGCUCAAGGCAGCGGACAGCUAGUAUCCAUCGUUUACGGCGUGGACUACCGGGGUAUCUAAUCCCGUUCGCUCCCCACGCUUUCGUCCAUCAGCGUCAGUACAUGGUUAGUGACCUGCCUUCGCGAUCGGUGUUCUAUGUAAUAUCUAUGCAUUUCACCGCUACACUACAUAUUCCGGCCACUCCACCAUGACUCAAGACAACCAGUAUCAAAGGCAGUGCUACGGUUGAGCCGCACCAUUUCACCUCUGACUUAAUUGCCCGCCUGCGGACCCUUUAAACCCAAUAAUUCCGGAUAACGCUCGGACCCUCCGUAUUACCGCGGCUGCUGGCACGGAGUUAGCCGGUCCUUAUUCUUACGGUACCGUCACCAGGAUACACGUAUCCCUUAUUCUUCCCGUAUAAAAGCAGUUUACAACCCAUAGGGCCGUCUUCCUGCACGCGGCAUGGCUGGAUCAGGCUUCCGCCCAUUGUCCAAUAUUCCUCACUGCUGCCUCCCGUAGGAGUCUGGUCCGUGUCUCAGUACCAGUGUGGGGGAUCCCCCUCUCAGGGCCCCUACUUAUCGUAGCCUAGGUAAGCCGUUACCUUACCUACUAGCUAAUAAGACGCAUAGCCAUCCUUUACCGUUCGAAAACUAUAACCUAUUAGAAAUGCCUCUAAUAGGUACUACGGGGUAUUAAUCCAAAUUUCUCUGGGCUAUCCCCCUGUAAAGGGUAGGUUCUAUACGCGUUGCGCACCCGUGCGCCACUCGUCAGCGGAUUGCAAGC